RNAcentral lists this ribosomal RNA (411 nucleotides) under uncultured bacterium. Its description in RNAcentral is "partial 16S ribosomal RNA". It matches the Rfam family "Bacterial small subunit ribosomal RNA", at positions 355 to 758 of the family's 1533-position model. The record is from RNAcentral.
UGGGGAAUAUUGCACAAUGGGCGCAAGCCUGAUGCAGCCAUGCCGCGUGUGUGAAGAAGGCCUUCGGGUUGUAAAGCACUUUCAGCGAGGAGGAAGGCGUUAAGGUUAAUAACCUUGGCGAUUGACGUUACUCGCAGAAGAAGCACCGGCUAACUCCGUGCCAGCAGCCGCGGUAAUACGGAGGGUGCAAGCGUUAAUCGGAAUUACUGGGCGUAAAGCGCACGCAGGCGGUUUGUUAAGUCAGAUGUGAAAUCCCCGAGCUUAACUUGGGAACUGCAUUUGAAACUGGCAAGCUAGAGUCUUGUAGAGGGGGGUAGAAUUCCAGGUGUAGCGGUGAAAUGCGUAGAGAUCUGGAGGAAUACCGGUGGCGAAGGCGGCCCCCUGGACAAAGACUGACGCUCAGGUGCGAAA